GAUGAACGCUGGCGGCGUGCCUAAUACAUGCAAGUCGAGCGAACAGACGAGGAGCUUGCUCCUCUGACGUUAGCGGCGGACGGGUGAGUAACACGUGGAUAACCUACCUAUAAGACUGGGAUAACUUCGGGAAACCGGAGCUAAUACCGGAUAACAUGUUGAACCGCAUGGUUCAACAGUGAAAGACGGUCUUGCUGUCACUUAUAGAUGGAUCCGCGCCGCAUUAGCUAGUUGGUAAGGUAACGGCUUACCAAGGCAACGAUGCGUAGCCGACCUGAGAGGGGGGAGGGCCAACACGAGAGGUGAGCACGGCCCAGGACCCCGGGGGGAGGCGGAAGGGGGAAUUUUCCCGAAAGGGGAGAAGGCCGGGCGGAGCACCGCGGGGGGGGAGAAAAAGGUUUCGGGAUCGAAAAACUUUUUUAUAGGGAAAAAAAAAAUGUGAAAGAAAUUAGGCCCGUCUGGAGGGUACUUAACAAAAAGGCCACGCCAAACUACGUC
Molecule: ribosomal RNA, 498 nt
Filed under: uncultured bacterium
Lineage: Bacteria
Description: partial 16S ribosomal RNA
Rfam family: Bacterial small subunit ribosomal RNA
Source: RNAcentral